This 174-nucleotide non-coding RNA is filed under the name uncultured Selenomonas sp. The record is from RNAcentral. Lineage: Bacteria; Bacillati; Bacillota; Negativicutes; Selenomonadales; Selenomonadaceae.
UCAGGUGUCGCAAGACUCAAUAGAGAAGCCGGUGAGGAACAAAACUCCAACCCCGGCGCGGUCCCGCCACUGUAGCAGAGAGUGCUGUUGCAACAACGUCACUGGAGAUGGAGAAGCGUCUCUGGGAAGGCGCAGCAGCAUGAUGACCUGGAGCCAGGAGAACUGCCUGAUCGA